UUACGACCACAUCGCGUUGGAACACCGGUUCCCUUGCGAUCAGCGAAGUUAAGCAACGCCGAGCCUGGUCCGUACCUAGAUAGGUGACCGCAUGGGAAUAUCAUGUGCUGUAAU
This is a non-coding RNA of Acanthosepion pharaonis, 114 nucleotides long. The record is from the annotation of a GenBank genome assembly. Lineage: Eukaryota; Metazoa; Mollusca; Cephalopoda; Sepiida; Sepiidae.